UGUCUCCUCCUCCCUCUUUAGGAAGGAUUAGCCCCGCAGCCCAAAGCUGCGGGGCUUUUUUU
Molecule: non-coding RNA, 62 nt
Filed under: Herbaspirillum sp. YR522
Lineage: Bacteria; Pseudomonadati; Pseudomonadota; Betaproteobacteria; Burkholderiales; Oxalobacteraceae
Description: Betaproteobacteria toxic small RNA
Rfam family: Betaproteobacteria toxic small RNA
About the family: Overexpression in amino aid rich medium attenuates growth, suggesting role in repressing amino acid intake and metabolism.
Source: Rfam by way of RNAcentral